AGGACGAACGCUGGCGGCGUGCCUAAAACAUGCAAGUCGAACGAGGUAGCAAUACUUAGUGGCGAACGGCGGAGUAAUACAUAAGCAACGUGCCCUGAAGACUGGGAUAGCCGGGGGAAACCCCGAGUAAUACCGGAUGUGGCCGUCGAAGGACAUCCUUUGACGAUUAAAUGGUUUUUCGCUUCAGGAGCGGCUUAUGGCCUAUCAGGUAGUUGGUGGGGUAAUGGCCUACCAAGCCGACGACGGGUAGCGGGUCUGAGAGGAUGAUCCGCUCGAGUGGGACUGAGACACGGCCCACACACCUACGGGUGGCAGCAGUUGGGAAAUCUUGCACAAUGGGGGAAACCCUGAUGCAGCGACGCCGCGUGGAGGAUGACGGAUCUAGGUCUGUAAACUCCUUUUUCAUGGAAAGACUUAGGACGGUACCAUGAGAAUAAGCUCCGGCUAACUACGUGCCAGCAAGCCGC
This 467-nucleotide ribosomal RNA is filed under the name uncultured soil bacterium. RNAcentral's name for it is "bacterial SSU rRNA". It matches the Rfam family "Bacterial small subunit ribosomal RNA", at positions 26 to 518 of the family's 1533-position model. The record is from RNAcentral.